AGGGUUCGAUCCUGGCUCAGGACGAACGCUGGCGGCACGCCUAACACAUGCAAGUCGAACGGAGAUAUUAGCUUCGGUUAAUAUCUUAGUGGCGGACGGGUGAGUAACACGUGAGCAACCUGCCUCUAAGAACGGGAUAGCUUCUGGAAACGGAUGGUAAUACCGUAUAAUGUAUUGGGAAGGCAUCUUUCUAAUACCAAAGAUUUAUCGCUUAGAGAUGGGCUCGCGUCUGAUUAGCUAGAUGGUGAGGUAACGGCCCACCAUGGCGACGAUCAGUAGCCGGACUGAGAGGUUGAACGGCCACAUUGGGACUGAGACACGGCCCAG
This 327-nucleotide ribosomal RNA is filed under the name uncultured bacterium. Its description in RNAcentral is "bacterial SSU rRNA". It matches the Rfam family "Bacterial small subunit ribosomal RNA", at positions 8 to 334 of the family's 1533-position model. The record is from RNAcentral.